GGGGAAUUUUCCGCAAUGGGCGAAAGCCUGACGGAGCAACGCCGCGUGAGGGAAGAAGGCCUCUGGGCUGUAAACCUCUUUUCUCAAGGAAGAAGAUCUGACGGUACUUGAGGAAUAAGCCACGGCUAAUUCCGUGCCAGCAGCCGCGGUAAUACGGGAGUGGCAAGCGUUAUCCGGAAUUAUUGGGCGUAAAGCGUCCGCAGGCGGCCUUUCAAGUCUGCUGUUAAAGCGUGGAGCUUAACUCCAUUAAGGCAGUGGAAACUGUUGGGCUUGAGUGUGGUAGGGGCAGAGGGAAUUCCCGGUGUAGCGGUGAAAUGCGUAGAUAUCGGGAAGAACACCAGUGGCGAAGGCGCUCUGCUGGGCCAUAACUGACGCUCAUGGACGAAAGCCAGGGGAGCGAAAGGGAUUANAUACCCCUGUAGUC
Molecule: ribosomal RNA, 424 nt
Filed under: uncultured cyanobacterium
Lineage: Bacteria; Bacillati; Cyanobacteriota
Description: bacterial SSU rRNA
Rfam family: Bacterial small subunit ribosomal RNA
Source: RNAcentral